Etheostoma cragini (Arkansas darter) is the source of this 207-nucleotide long non-coding RNA. RefSeq lists it as uncharacterized. The transcript is spliced from 2 exons. NCBI's taxonomy places the organism in Eukaryota, Metazoa, Chordata, Actinopteri, Perciformes, Percidae. The record is from RefSeq and is a predicted model, not a curated record.
UCAAAGUAAAAACUUCAAAGUAUCUUUAUUAAUCUCCCCAAGGAGAAAUCUGUUUUGGACACUGAGAGAAAUUGCUGCAAUACUACAACAGAGACACACAACAAGAACAAGUUAAAACAAUCAAAGGACAAAUGUACAUUGAACAUCUGGGCUACUCAAAGAGCUAUGCAUAUAGCAAAUGACCAUUUUCUAUACUUGUGCAAAAAA